Molecule: non-coding RNA, 784 nt
Organism: Equus caballus (horse)
Lineage: Eukaryota; Metazoa; Chordata; Mammalia; Perissodactyla; Equidae
Source: RefSeq, a predicted model, not a curated record
CAGAAUUCCUGGGUCUCUGACCCAGGGGCCUGGGUGGCCUCUGAAGAACCUUCUGGAAGGCUCAGAGCAUUGCCGUCUGCUGGACCUCAGAGGGGACCACAAAGUGGGCUGGCGGCCCCCGCGGACACAGAUCCAGCCCCCAAAUUCAUCCUCCGGGAGCGUCCCGUCCCUGUGCCUCCCAGAGGCCCACCGAGGACGGUGCCAAGGUCACGCCUAGAGAUUCCCAAAAGGACCUGGGCUUGUUUGGGGCACCCACGCCCCAUGAGAGCUUCCUCACCACCCAGCUCUCGCACUGUUCCCUGUGCCCCAGCCAGAGCCCCGGAUGACAGCCUCAAGUCCUAUCCACCUCCUCACCUCCCAAAACCUCCCACCCUGAGUCCGUCUCCUGCCCGGCUAAGCGGCCUGCUCAAGUCUCAAUUCCUGGCUCUCCCAUUGACAUGCUGUGUGACAUCAGUGCUCCGGAGGCACCAUGACUUCUUGACAUCUCGACCUUUGCACAUGCUGUUCCCUCUGCCGGGAACAGAAUUCUGUCUCCUCAGCUGCACCUUCCCAGGCUGGCUUAUUCUUCAGGAUUUCUCAGUUGGUCUAAUACCGCCAAUGGCAGAGAAGAGACACAGGGACAUGUGUGACAACAGGGGCAGAGAUAGGGUGACAUGUCUACGAGUUGCCAGCAGCCCCCCGGAGCCGGGAAAGGGGCACGGAACAGAUUCUCCCUCUGAUUCCCCAAGAAGGAACCAGCCCUGCCGCCACCUUGAAUCAGGAGAGAAUAAAUCUGUCGUGUUAA